This 65-nucleotide transfer RNA is filed under the name Rattus norvegicus (Norway rat). It matches the Rfam family "tRNA". From Rfam's summary of the family: Transfer RNA (tRNA) molecules are approximately 80 nucleotides in length. Their secondary structure includes four short double-helical elements and three loops (D, anti-codon, and T loops). Further hydrogen bonds mediate the characteristic L-shaped molecular structure. tRNAs have two regions of fundamental functional importance: the anti-codon, which is responsible for specific mRNA codon recognition, and the 3' end, to which the tRNAs corresponding amino acid is attached (by aminoacyl-tRNA synthetases). tRNAs cope with the degeneracy of the genetic code in two manners: having more than one tRNA (with a specific anti-codon) for a particular amino acid; and 'wobble' base-pairing, i.e. permitting non-standard base-pairing at the 3rd anti-codon position. The record is from Rfam by way of RNAcentral. Lineage: Eukaryota; Metazoa; Chordata; Mammalia; Rodentia; Muridae.
GGGGAUUUAGCUCAGUGGUAGAGCGUUUGCCUAGUGCAAGGCCCUGGGUUCGAUUCUCAGCUCCG